CAGCAGCCGCGGUAAUACGAAGGGGGCUAGCGUUGUUCGGAAUUACUGGGCGUAAAGCGCACGCAGGCGGCUCGAUAAAUUAGAAGUGAAAGCCUUGGGCUUAACCUGAGAAUUGCUUUUAAGACUGUCGAGCUAGAAUCCAGAAGAGGGUAGUGGAAUUCCGAGUGUAGAGGUGAAAUUCGUAGAUAUUCGGAAGAACACCAGUGGCGAAGGCAACUACCUGGUCUGGCGUUGACGCUCAUGUGCGAAAGCGUGGGGAGCAAACAGGAUUAGAUACCCCUGAAGUCCCUGUCUCUUAUAC
Molecule: ribosomal RNA, 301 nt
Filed under: uncultured bacterium
Lineage: Bacteria
Description: partial 16S ribosomal RNA
Rfam family: Bacterial small subunit ribosomal RNA
Source: RNAcentral